RNAcentral lists this ribosomal RNA (444 nucleotides) under uncultured Anaerolineaceae bacterium. RNAcentral describes it as "bacterial SSU rRNA". It matches the Rfam family "Bacterial small subunit ribosomal RNA", at positions 923 to 1382 of the family's 1533-position model. The record is from RNAcentral. Lineage: Bacteria; Bacillati; Chloroflexota; Anaerolineae; Anaerolineales; Anaerolineaceae.
GCACAAGCGUGGAGCAUGUGGUUAAUUCGACGCAACGCGAAGACCUUACCAGGGCUUGACAUCCCCUGACCGCGUAUGAAAGUACGUUUUCACCCUCGGGUGACAGGGAGACAGGUGGUGCAUGGUUGUCGUCAGCUCGUGUCGUGAGAUGUUCGGUUAAGUCCGCUAACGAGCGCAACCCUCGUCGUAUGUUAUAUGUGUCGUACGAGACUGCCGGUAAAAAGCCGGAGGAAGGUGAGGAUGAUGUCAAGUCAGCAUGACCUUUAUAUCCAGGGCUACACACACGCUACAAUGGUCUGUACAAUGGGUAGCCAAGCCGCGAGGCGGAGCCAAUCCUGAAAGCAGGCCUCAGUUCAGAUUGCAGUCUGCAACUCGACUGCAUGAAGCCGGAGUUGCUAGUAACCGCAGGUCAGCAAUACUGCGGUGAAUACGUUCCCGGGUCUU